This 254-nucleotide ribosomal RNA is filed under the name uncultured bacterium. RNAcentral's name for it is "partial 16S ribosomal RNA". It matches the Rfam family "Bacterial small subunit ribosomal RNA", at positions 524 to 777 of the family's 1533-position model. The record is from RNAcentral.
GACAGAGGGUGCGAGCGUUGUUCGGAAUUACUGGGCGUAAAGCGAGUGUAGGCGGUUGCCCAAGUCAGGUGUGAAAGCCUUGAGCUCAACUCAAGAAAUGCACUUGGUACUGGGUGGCUAGAGGACCGGAGAGGAUAGUGGAAUUCCCAGUGUAGUGGUGAAAUACGUAGAGAUUGGGAAGAACACCAGUGGCGAAGGCGGCUAUCUGGACGGUUACUGACGCUAAGACUCGAAAGCGUGGGGAGCAAACAGGG